This 399-nucleotide long non-coding RNA is filed under the name Elaeis guineensis (African oil palm). RNAcentral's name for it is "long non-coding RNA (EGUI_LNC073594)". Lineage: Eukaryota; Viridiplantae; Streptophyta; Magnoliopsida; Arecales; Arecaceae. The record is from RNAcentral.
AAUUUGAAAGAAGCUCACUGCUGGUGUCACAUGACAUAUUAUUUAGAAUUAGAUGAUUGAUUUGACUGUAUACAAUCGAACAUCAAGUUCGCAUCAGGGACUAUGCUGAGGUAUCUUCUCAGUAGUUGCAGUAGGCCCCAGAUUAUGAACAUGGCUUGGCUCUAUCGGCACGCUAGUAUAGGUCGAUGUAGAGGUGGCGACCGUCAAGGAUGACCACCUACAGGAUGGCGUGCUUCCCGACCUUUGCCUCUAUGUCGGAAGAGAUGUCAUACCAUCUCUAUGGCUUUAGGUCUCAGAGGAUCCAACUAAAAAAUGUAGGGCACGACUGCUGCUAUGAAGAAUCAUUGGUAUCUCCAUCUCCAAUGGCAUCACUAACGAAAGAGGUGUAAGAGGGGAGGG